GGGUCAGUAGGUUGGUCGUGCCACCGGUACGUACUGGUCUCACUGAUUCCUCCUUCCUGAAGAACCGUAAUGCCAUUAAUUUGGUGUUGCGGGGAAACAGGACUGUUACUUUGAAAAAAUUAGAGCGUUUAAAGCAAGCUAACGCUUGAAUACAUUAGCAUGGAAUAAUGAAAUAGGACGAUCGAUCCUAUUUUGUUGGUUUCUAGGAUUGACGCA
This 216-nucleotide ribosomal RNA is filed under the name Glomeromycotina sp. Its description in RNAcentral is "partial small subunit ribosomal RNA". The stretch from base 44 to 216 matches the Rfam family "Eukaryotic small subunit ribosomal RNA", at positions 690 to 864 of the family's 1831-position model. The record is from RNAcentral. Lineage: Eukaryota; Fungi; Glomeromycota.